UACGUAGGGUGCGAGCGUUAAUCGGAAUUACUGGGCGUAAAGCGUGCGCAGGCGGUUUUGUAAGCCAGAUGUGAAAUCCCCGGGCUUAACCUGGGAAUGGCAUUUGGGACUGCAAGGCUUGAGUGCGGCAGAGGAGACUGGAAUUCCUGGUGAGCAGUGAAAUGCGUAGAUAUCAGGAGGAACACCGAUGGCGAAGGCAGGAUCUGC
This 207-nucleotide ribosomal RNA is filed under the name uncultured bacterium. Its description in RNAcentral is "partial 16S ribosomal RNA". It matches the Rfam family "Bacterial small subunit ribosomal RNA", at positions 524 to 732 of the family's 1533-position model. The record is from RNAcentral.